UACGUAGGUGGCAAGCGUUGUCCGGAUUUAUUGGGUUUAAAGGGCGCGUAGGCGGUCUAUUAAGUCAGCGGUGAAAUACUCCAGCUUAACUGGAGGGGUGCCAUUGAUACUGAUGGACUUGAGUCAAGUCGAGGUAGGCGGAAUUGACGGUGUAGCGGUGAAAUGCUUAGAUAUCGGCAAGAACACCAAUAGUGAAGACAGCUUACUGGGCUUAAACUGACGCUGAGGCGCGAAAGUGUGGGGAUCAAACAGG
This 253-nucleotide ribosomal RNA is filed under the name uncultured bacterium. RNAcentral's name for it is "partial 16S ribosomal RNA". It matches the Rfam family "Bacterial small subunit ribosomal RNA", at positions 524 to 776 of the family's 1533-position model. The record is from RNAcentral.